UGCUUAAUCACGGCACAAGGUGCUGUGACAAGACAUCACCCGGAAGCUCUUGCUCCGAAGCUCGUCGAUACGGUGGUGCAGUCAAAUCGGGGAUAGUUCCUGACGGCUUCGCGUGAGGGAUGAAAUCUUUAGAAGAUAAGGUUCCGGCCCGGUAGCUCCAUCCAAGUCGGGGCCCGACAAUUCAAGUGGAGAUAAGCCUGUAGAAAGCAUAUGGUUUCUCUGUUUGGACGAGGGUUCGACUCCCUCCAGCUCCACAA
Molecule: transfer-messenger RNA, 257 nt
Filed under: Bacteroidaceae bacterium
Lineage: Bacteria; Pseudomonadati; Bacteroidota; Bacteroidia; Bacteroidales; Bacteroidaceae
Description: partial transfer-messenger RNA
Rfam family: transfer-messenger RNA
About the family: Bacterial tmRNA, also known as 10Sa RNA or SsrA, is named for its dual tRNA and mRNA-like properties. Its role is to liberate the mRNA from a stalled ribosome.
Source: RNAcentral